Sarcophilus harrisii (Tasmanian devil) is the source of this 361-nucleotide long non-coding RNA. RefSeq lists it as uncharacterized. Lineage: Eukaryota; Metazoa; Chordata; Mammalia; Dasyuromorphia; Dasyuridae. The transcript is spliced from 3 exons. The record is from RefSeq and is a predicted model, not a curated record.
CCAAAUAUAAAACUCAAGAGAAGCACAACAAGAGAUGACUUCACGUAUGAUAAUAUCUGCAAUCUCUUCUUAAGAUAUGAAAGAGACUAUGAUUAAUACAAACCCAUCAGAAUUAUAUAGUAACACUUCCAUCUCCAUGACACCACCUGUUGAUCCCAUGAAUCUUUUUUGGAAGAGUUCCCUGAACCAUUCCAAAGGAAAGGAAGCUUGCCAAUUAAAGGGGACAUAACCUAUUUCUCCAGGGGGGAUGGAGUAUUAAGUGAGGAAAAAAUCUUUGAGCAGACUGAGGAAGCGUCAGAGAGAAUCAAGCUCAACUAAGUCUCAAAACAGCUCAUUUUUAUCAGGUAAGAUUUUCUAGAGA